Molecule: ribosomal RNA, 253 nt
Filed under: uncultured bacterium
Lineage: Bacteria
Description: partial 16S ribosomal RNA
Rfam family: Bacterial small subunit ribosomal RNA
Source: RNAcentral
UACGUAGGGGGCUAGCGUUGUCCGGAUUUAUUGGGCGUAAAGAGCUCGUAGGCGGUUUGUCGCGUCUGCUGUGAAAACCCGAGGCUCAACCUCGGGCCUGCAGUGGGUACGGGCAGACUAGAGUGCGGUAGGGGAGAUUGGAAUUCCUGGUGUAGCGGUGGAAUGCGCAGAUAUCAGGAGGAACACCAAUGGCGAAGGCAGAUCUCUGGGCCGUAACUGACGCUGAGGAGCGAAAGCAUGGGGAGCGAACAGG